Molecule: ribosomal RNA, 464 nt
Filed under: uncultured bacterium
Lineage: Bacteria
Description: partial 16S ribosomal RNA
Rfam family: Bacterial small subunit ribosomal RNA
Source: RNAcentral
CCUACGGGAGGCAGCAGUAGGGAAUUUUCGUCAAUGGGCGCAAGCCUGAACGAGCAAUGCCGCGUGAACGAGGAAGGUCUUCGGAUCGUAAAGUUCUGUUGAAGGGGAAAAAGAGCGGAGAGAGGAAAUGCUUUCUGAUUGAUAUUACCCUUAGAGGAAGUCCCGGCUAACUACGUGCCAGCAGCCGCGGUACUACGUAGGUGGCGGGCGUUAUCCGGAAUGAUUGGGCGUAAAGGGUGCGUAGGCGGCCUGCUAAGUCUGGAGGGAAAGGUAACGGCUCAACCGGUACAGGCUCUGGAAACUGGCGGGCUGGAGGGCAGGAGAGGGGGGUGGAACUCCAUGUGUAGCGGUAAAAUGCGUAGAUAUAUGGAAGAACACCAGUGGCGAAGGCGGCCGCCUGGCCUGUUACUGACGCUGAGGCACGAAAGCGUGGGGAGCAAAUAGGAUUAGAUACCCCAGUAGUC